AUGUGCGGCGGUGCAAUCCUCGCCGAGCUCAUACCGAGCGCGCCGCCCAGGAGCGUCACGGCGGUCCACCUCUUGCCCAAGCGGCCGAGGGUCGACGACUUCGAGGCUGCUUUCAAGCGCUUCGACGAGGACUCUGCGGAGGAGGAGGUGCUCCAGCGCGCGGGCUUCGAGUUUGGCGCCCACAGGCAGCCGGCAGCGAGGCGCGGUGGCAGUAGUCCGGCACAGUACAGGGGCGUCCGGCGCCGGCCGUGGGGCAAAUGGGCGGCAGAGAUCCGCGACCCCGUCAAGGGCGUCCGGGUCUGGCUCGGCACCUUCCCCUCCGCCGAGGCCGCCGCGCACGCCUACGACGACGCCGCCCGCGACUUCCGCGGCGCCAGCGCCAGGCUCAACUUCCCCUCUUCGUCCACGAGCGCACCCAAGCGCCACGUGGCCGCGAAGGCGACGCCGUGCCUUGUUAUUGACCUCGUCGACGACGAAGAGGGUGAUGCUGGAGCAGCGGAUGCCGGCGGGAUGAGUUCCGAAUCAAGCGGCGCCCUGCCGGACUUCUCGUGGCAGGGCAUGUCCGCGUCCGACGAGGUCAUGGCGCAAUAUGUCCAUGCUGAAGUGGAGUCCAGCCAGUCCGUCGUCGACCUGGCCAGCCCCAAGAAGCGGCCCCGGAUCGAAGCCGACGCGGUUCUGCCGGCAGCGUCCGACGACUCCGCCAACCAACUGUUAGAUCCUUUCAUGUUCGAUGACCAAUUCGGUUUCUUGGACAGCAGCUCGUACGAGUGGCUGGAUAGCCUGUUCGGCGCCGAUGCCGAGAAGAUCGACGACAGCCAGCUGGGGCUCUGGAGCUUUGGCGACGAUGACUGUCUCGCGAGGACAGCGCGCGCGUGCAAGUAG
Molecule: ribosomal RNA, 882 nt
Filed under: Triticum aestivum (bread wheat)
Lineage: Eukaryota; Viridiplantae; Streptophyta; Magnoliopsida; Poales; Poaceae
Description: partial small subunit ribosomal RNA
Source: RNAcentral